Molecule: ribosomal RNA, 165 nt
Filed under: uncultured bacterium
Lineage: Bacteria
Description: partial 16S rRNA
Rfam family: Bacterial small subunit ribosomal RNA
Source: RNAcentral
GUAGGGAAUCUUCCACAAUGGGCGAAAGCCUGAUGGAGCAGCGCCGCGUGUGUGAUGAAGGGUUUCGGCUCGUAAAACACUGUUGUAAGAGAAGAAUGACAUUGAGAGUAACUGUUCAAUGUGUGACGGUAUCUUACCAGAAAGGAACGGCUAAAUACGUGCCAG